This 112-nucleotide non-coding RNA is filed under the name Blastococcus sp. Its description in RNAcentral is "TPP sequence". It matches the Rfam family "TPP riboswitch aptamer (THI element)". From Rfam's summary of the family: Vitamin B(1) in its active form thiamin pyrophosphate (TPP) is an essential coenzyme that is synthesised by coupling of pyrimidine and thiazole moieties in bacteria. Lineage: Bacteria; Bacillati; Actinomycetota; Actinomycetes; Geodermatophilales; Geodermatophilaceae. RNAcentral also lists the same sequence under 1 other name. The record is from RNAcentral.
CCUCGCCACCGCGGGAGCCCGGCGUACCGGGCUGAGAAGACGGCUCAACGGCCGCUGACCGCCACAACCUGAUCCGGGUCAUACCGGCGUAGGGAGGGGAUUCCCUUGACAG